GUGUGGGCAUUCCGCUUUGCAGAUGAGGUAAUAUUUGAAGUGCCAGCAUUAAUAUUGAAGAGGAAUGAAAUAUCUGAAUAAGAAGGCAACGGAAAACAGGUUUAUUAGAGCAGAUCCUUUUACGCAAGCCUGGAUCCAUUUAUUGUUCUUGGUGUAUAUCACUUGCAAGAAUAGUUUCUGUCAGAACGUUUCAUUAUGUUUUUUGUCUUGUCAUAUAACGUAAUGUGAGCAAUGGUUUACUUCAACACUCUCAAUAUUUCAUAACUAUAAAACACAAAAAAAAAUCACACUUUAUGUAUUAUAGCUGUGUGAAUGCAAUAACCAUCUACUGGCAAAAUAUACAACUGAAUUAAAGUGACACCAGCUUAUCAUAAGCUUUAUAUGAGUUUUACUAUGGCC
Molecule: non-coding RNA, 399 nt
Organism: Pelobates cultripes (western spadefoot toad)
Lineage: Eukaryota; Metazoa; Chordata; Amphibia; Anura; Pelobatidae
Source: the annotation of a GenBank genome assembly